RNAcentral lists this unclassified non-coding RNA (400 nucleotides) under soil metagenome. RNAcentral's name for it is "partial contains 5.8S ribosomal RNA, internal transcribed spacer 2, and large subunit ribosomal RNA". The stretch from base 1 to 122 matches the Rfam family "5.8S ribosomal RNA", at positions 35 to 154 of the family's 154-position model. The record is from RNAcentral.
GAUGAAGAACGCAGCGAAAUGCGAUACUUGGUGUGAAUUGCAGAAUCCCGUGAACCAUCGAGUUUUUGAACGCAAGUUGCGCCCGAAGCCGUUAGGCUGAGGGCACGCCUGCCUGGGUGUCACAUAUCGUUGCCUGAUGCCAGUUUCCUCGUGAUGGGUGACUGUGCAGGGCGAAUGAUGGCUUCCCGUGAGCAUUGUUGCCUCAUGGUUGGUUGAAAAUUGAGUCCUUGGUAGGGAGCGCCGUGAUAGAUGGUGGUUGAGUGACGAACGAGACCCAAUCAUGUGAGACCCCUACCGAAUUUGGCCUUCAUGACCCACAUGCGUCUUUGGAACGCUCAUGACGAGACCUCAGGUCAGGCGGGGCUACCCGCUGAGUUUAAGCAUAUCAAUAAGCGGAGGA